UGUAAGCGUAUACCAAAGUUGUUGCAGUUAAAACGCUCGUAGUCGGAAUUUGGCAGUUCCGGAAGUGUGCACGUCGUGUGCGCACUUUGCGGGGACUGCUUUUGUGGUCUUGCGUAGGAUGAGGCACUUUCAUUAGUGAACGUCCUCACGCAACCACUCUUUACUGUGAGAAAAUCAGAGUGCUCAAAGCAGGCAUUUGCCGUGAAUGUAUUAGCAUGGAAUAAUAGGAUAGGACUCGGUUCUAUUUUGUUGGUUUGUUGGGACUGAGUAAUGAUUAAGAGGGACAGUUGGGGGCAUUUGUAUUCCGGCGCUAGAGGUGAAAUUCUUAGAUUGCCGGAAGACAAACUGCUGCGAAAGCGUCUGCCAAGGAUGUUUUCAUUGA
Molecule: ribosomal RNA, 382 nt
Filed under: uncultured eukaryote
Lineage: Eukaryota
Description: partial 18S ribosomal RNA
Rfam family: Eukaryotic small subunit ribosomal RNA
Source: RNAcentral